Molecule: long non-coding RNA, 1890 nt
Organism: Daktulosphaira vitifoliae (grape phylloxera)
Lineage: Eukaryota; Metazoa; Arthropoda; Insecta; Hemiptera; Phylloxeridae
Exons: 4
Source: RefSeq, a predicted model, not a curated record
AAUUAUAUUGAUUUGGUUAUUUUUAAAAAAGUUAUAGCAAUUUUUAGUAAAAAAAAUUGAAAAAAUUUUGAAAAUUAGCGAUUUUUAAAUUUGUAAUUUUUUUAGAGGUUUCCCCCAUUUACGGGGAACGAGGGGAUUUUUUUCAAUUUUUGAGGGUAAUGUCUUCGACUAGAUACGAUUUGUGAUCUUUUGACGUAUCAUUGAAAGAAAUCGGUUCGGUGAGAGCUGAGAAAAAGUGAUUACAGACAAAAAAUAAAAAAACAUAUCUUAGUAAAACCAAUACCUUCUCAGCUUCGCAUCGAAGCUAAAAAACUUAUAGUUCAGUCUAAUUAUUAUUGCUAUAAGCAUAUUUAUUAUAAUUGAUUUGUAUUUUAUUCCAGCGUGUCCGACGAUUAUUUUUUCCGGCAUCAUCUGACGGACUAUUAAAAAAAAAAAGAAAGAAAACAUGAAUUACAACUUAAUAAUGAUAAAAGUUUUACUAUUUAACAAUUCAAACUACAACGAUAAAACCAUACUGCAUUUUAUGUUGAACAAAAAAUACGUUAUUAAUAAAUGAACUUAAAUAAUAUACUUACAUAAGUCGAUAUAACACAUAAUUCAAGAUUUUAAAAUUUUUACAAUAACUGAAUAGCAAUUGAUAUACUAGUUUUUGUUAAUUUUUCUGAUCAUAUUAAUCAAAUAUACAGUUUUUAUAUAAGUUAAUAUACUGCAUGAUAUUAAUUAAGGUUGGUUAAAUAAAAUGAAAAUUAAUUUUUAGAUAUGUUACAGGCAUUGACAGGUCGAUUGCUAAAAAAACAUUAAUGAUCAUCCACUUAACAACUUUAAACAAAACUGCCGUUUUCACGGCAAACUGUCUAAUAACUUUCAUUUUUAUUAUUUCAGUACACAUUAAAUUAUAGAGUAAUAUUAUAUUACUAGAUAAUAUAUAUUGAAACUAACUGUCAUUGACUACUAAGCGCAAGAUUAGCAACAUCAAUUUACAACUUUUUGUCAUUGACUAAUUGUUUAUUUUUUAUUCGCGUAUCGAAAACUGAUUCUGAUUUUUACGUUAUGUACAGUUGGACUAGUAAACUAGGUAAAAACUAUCGGUUUGGCAGAAACGAAAAUCGUACCUUAAUCAGAUUUGGCGGAAAUGAUGCUUGGCGGAAACGAUGAACGCUCGGUACACGAUUGCCCGUGUCUUCUUCAGAUUGAACCUGUAAGUAAAUGUAUGGGGUUAUUGUGAAACAAAAUGUACGUAAACUUCAAUAGUCGCGCAUUAAUGUGCAGAACACUAACGGUCUGUCCGCUCCGGAUCAACGACGCAGCUAUCCCAGUAUAAUCCACGGAAAUCACGGUCCCUCUGCGGCUCCGGAUGGACGAAAUCAAACAGUUGUACGGGAAAGUCUUGCCGCAACCUCCGGCUCCGGAAACGUCGAACAACUUGGGCAAUGGACGCCUGGUGUCUUCGACCGCCCGCAUUACGCGAUCGUACAUCGUUCAUUGUUGUUCGUUUAGUUGACCGACCAAUUGAGCGACGUCUGUCGCCGUUACCGUCUUCGUCGCCUUGUCGGUCGGCGUGUCCGGUACCAACAGAGCGCGAUCCGGCUCGGAUAAACCGUAACCCGUGAGCGUCUUGUUUGAAGCGGCCAGGUGACGUUCCUUAGCAGCCAGACACAUGGCUUCUGUUGUGUCGCGGUAUGCGUGUCGUCUGAAAUGAGCUACGGAAAUAAAACUAUAGACGAAACAAAACUAUUGUGCGUAGUUCAAAUUAUUUUAUAAUUUAUUAAUAAUUAUUUAUAUUAUUGUGCACGUUGUAAUAUAUAAUAAUUAUAGUAAUAAGAAUAAAUAUAUGUAUUACUGUUAUUGUAAUUAUUAUUAUUGUUUUUGUGUUAAAAAUUUUGCAAUUUA